This is a long non-coding RNA of Hippocampus zosterae (dwarf seahorse), 1581 nucleotides long. RefSeq lists it as uncharacterized. The transcript has 4 exons. Lineage: Eukaryota; Metazoa; Chordata; Actinopteri; Syngnathiformes; Syngnathidae. The record is from RefSeq and is a predicted model, not a curated record.
UGCGUGGCGUGGGCGGGUGGGUGGGUGAUUAAUUACAGACUCGGCUUGUGACAGAGGUGAACUCCGUGGUGGUACUGUCUGCUGCCGACAUGGAGGGAAAGUCUACCCGGCUAAUUGACCUGGCUUCUGUAAGGCCAUCCAUCAAGCGUGGCCCAAGUGGCCCCGUAAGAAACACAUUAUUCAGAGUCGCAGCGUCACACUACCAGAUCAAUAUCUUCCUGUGUCUUGGACCUGGCGAGAUGUCACAAAACAAUUCCGUCACCGACCAGACUUCGCGUCCUUCUGUCAAGAUCGGUGACGGUGUACCUAAUGCUAUGGCCGUCGAGUGCAUGAUCACAACUUUUGGGAGCAGAUGCUGCAUGAGUCCUAUUGCGUGAGCAGCCUCAAAGCGCCACCUACCUGGUUGGGUGGUGGCGUUUGGCAGAGACAUCCUGCAAACUGUUGUCAUGGUGAUCAAAUUGAUUGGCAGGGACGCCUGAUUUGAAAGGAAGAAUAGAGGACAGGUGGAAGGAGGCGGGGUGUACAUCUAGUUGAACAGAUUGGGACAAACUGAGGACUCGCUGGGUGUCAUAAGGGGAGCCACUGUCUGUUUUGGCUCUGCUUACACCUUGUAAAAGACAACCAGUAAUUACUCCAACCGUCCGUAGAGAGUACUGUAUUGGCGUUCUCUUCUGAACCUUUAACAGUAACGCCAGAUGUUCUCCUUUCUGGUUUGAAUACAAUUAAGUACAAUUAAGUAGAAUCCUUUUUGGAAUUGUCAUAUUGACAGAUUCUGCCCCAGGUUUCUGGCAGUAUUUUAUUUCUCACAUAGUUAAUUUGUACAAGCCCUAAAAGCAUCAAAUAUAUAUAUAAUAUAUAAACAAAAGUGCUUUUAUUUGUUCUUUUUCAUUAGAAACAUCAACAUUGAUGAUCGGCAUCAUAAGAGCAGUAUGGGAAACCUGCCAUUAAGUACCCAUUACUAUUAAAGUGGUGGUUCUGAUUGAGGGUGCGCUCAUUGUGCAGAGGUUGACCACCUGUGGGGGAAAGAUUGAUGGAGCUGAAACGGGGAUGAAAUAAUUUGUGCAAAGGGAAAACCAGCGGAAGCCAUUUGUAAGGAAUCCGUGGAAGAAAAAUACACAGAGGAAAAGAGACGGUACGGGAGAAGAGAUGAGGAAUGAGAACAGGGAGGAGCGAGAGGAAGGGAAUGGCACUCGGGGGACUGAGUCUCAACUGUUUGUGGUGACAGCCUCCGGUCUCUGGCCUCCUUCCCAACGCUUCCUGCUCCAUUUCCUUUUCUUUCAUUCCUAAUUUUUUUCUUAUUUUUUGAAUUAUUACUGUGUGGCUUGCUCGUGGUCACUUCCAGGUUCUGUCAGGUUCUCUCAUCCUUGUUAAAAACAAACAUAUGGCAUAUGUACUUUAAUUCUCACGAUACACUUGACAUUUCAUUAGUAGAAGCAGGGUGCCCUUUAAAUUCCACAAGGUAAUGGAGGCAAUCCAACGUGUUGAUUUUGGUUCUAUUGACGUGAUUGCAUCACAAGCUUGAUGCAUAUUUUAGAACUGUAACUCUACGAUGCAAAUGUGCUGUUCCAGCCCAUCCCAUUA